GGGGAACGCGUGGCCUAGUGGUAGAGCGCCCGCCUCGGCUGCGGGAGGUUGUGGGUUCGAUUCCCACCGCCACCG
Molecule: transfer RNA, 75 nt
Filed under: Dermacentor silvarum
Lineage: Eukaryota; Metazoa; Arthropoda; Arachnida; Ixodida; Ixodidae
Description: transfer RNA proline (anticodon CGG)
Rfam family: tRNA
About the family: Transfer RNA (tRNA) molecules are approximately 80 nucleotides in length. Their secondary structure includes four short double-helical elements and three loops (D, anti-codon, and T loops).
Source: RNAcentral